Molecule: ribosomal RNA, 763 nt
Filed under: uncultured Comamonadaceae bacterium
Lineage: Bacteria; Pseudomonadati; Pseudomonadota; Betaproteobacteria; Burkholderiales; Comamonadaceae
Description: bacterial SSU rRNA
Rfam family: Bacterial small subunit ribosomal RNA
Source: RNAcentral
GCUGCACUGACGCUCAUGCACGAAAGCGUGGGGAGCAAACAGGAUUAGAUACCUGGUAGUCCACGCCUAAACGAUGUCAACUGGUUGUUGGGAAUUUAUUUUCUCAGUAACGAAGCUAACGCGUGAAGUUGACCGCUGGGGGGUACGGUCGCAAGACUAAAACUCAAAGGAAUUGACGGGGACCCGCACAAGCGGUGGAUGAUGUGGUUUAAUUCGAUGCAACGCGAAAAACCUUACCCACCUUUGACAUGUACGGAAGUUGCCAGAGAUGGCUUCGUGUCGAAAGAAGCCGUAACACAGGUGCUGCAUGGCUGUCGUCAGCUCGUGUCGUGAGAUGUUGGGUUAAGUCCCGCAACGAGCGCAACCCUUGUCAUUAGUUGCCAUCAUUAAGUUGGGCACUCUAAUGAGACUGCCGGUGAUAAACCGGAGGAAGGUGGGGAUGACGUCAAGUCCUCAUGGCCCUUAUAGGUGGGGCUACACACGUCAUACAAUGGCUGGUACAAAGGGUUGCCAACCCGCGAGGGGGAGCUAAUCCCAUAAAGCCAGUCGUAGUCCGGAUCGCAGUCUGCAACUCGACUGCGUGAAGUCGGAAUCGCUAGUAGUCGUGGAUCAGCAUGUCACGGUGAAUACGUUCCCGGGUCUUGUACACACCGCCCGUCACACCAUGGGAGCGGGUUCUGCCAGAAGUAGGUAGCUUAACCGUAAGGAGGGCGCUUACCACGGCAGGGCUCGUGACUGGGGUGAAGUCGUAACAAGGUAACCA